RNAcentral lists this ribosomal RNA (254 nucleotides) under uncultured bacterium. RNAcentral describes it as "partial 16S ribosomal RNA". It matches the Rfam family "Bacterial small subunit ribosomal RNA", at positions 524 to 776 of the family's 1533-position model. The record is from RNAcentral.
CACGUAGGGGGCAAGCGUUGUCCGGAUUUAUUGGGCGUAAAGAGCUCGUAGGCGGCUUAGUAAGUCGGGUGUGAAACCUCCAGGCUCAACCUGGAGACGCCACCCGAUACUGCUGUGGCUAGAGUCCGGUAGGGGAGCGUGGAAUUCCUGGUGUAGCGGUGAAAUGCGCAGAUAUCAGGAGGAACACCAGCGGCGAAGGCGGCGCUCUGGGCCGGUACUGACGCUGAGGAGCGAAAGCUAGGGGAGCAAACGGG